Molecule: small RNA, 223 nt
Filed under: Pan troglodytes (chimpanzee)
Lineage: Eukaryota; Metazoa; Chordata; Mammalia; Primates; Hominidae
Description: processed transcript
Source: RNAcentral
AGACGCAGGCCCUCAUGGCCAGGGGAGGGUGCACCUGGCGGCCCCCCUGAGCGACGCUCCCCAUGAUGACGCCCACGGGAACUUCCAGUACGACCAUGAGGCUUUCCUGGGACGGGAAGUGGCCAAAGAAUUCGACCAACUCACCCCAGAGGAAAGCCAGGCCCGUCUGGGGUGAAGAAUUUCAUGACGUGGAGGAUGCAGAGACCUACAAAAAGAUGCUGGC